Molecule: long non-coding RNA, 680 nt
Filed under: Capsella rubella
Lineage: Eukaryota; Viridiplantae; Streptophyta; Magnoliopsida; Brassicales; Brassicaceae
Description: long non-coding RNA (CRUB_LNC004624)
Source: RNAcentral
CAAGCCAAAGACACCACCAGCAUUAAAUUAGACCAACAACCCCAUACCAAAAAGGAGGUUGGUUUAUUAAAUUUGAAAUUUGUUUCUAUGACCCAAAAAAAAACUUAUUUUCAAAAAGAUAACAAUAAUAAUAUGAACUAAGAUGAAUCAAUGAUGCCAAUAGUUAUCGAAUAUAAUCUAAUAAAGAUGAAUUCUGAAGAACAAGUUUUUUGUGUUGUUAUUGUCGUAUAGAACAAUUUUGGAAGAACUUCGAUUAUAUAGUAGUAAAGUAGUUUACACUUUCUUUGUCUAUAGGGUAACUUGGUGUGUGUUAUAUAGUAGUUAGUAGUAUAAAAGAUAACGACGAUAAAUCAAAGAGGAGGAACAAGCGAACAAGGUUCCCACGAGCUUUCAAUAUAGUAUUUAUGAGGUUUGUAAGGCAUGUUGGUGGGGUUGUGCCACUCCCAAUAUAAACAUUUGAAAUUUCGAAAUUAAUAUUUGGUGUGGCUCAACUUUCCAAAUAUUCUCCCUCCCUAUUUAUUUCGUUUUCUUUGUUAAGUUCCUAUCAUUUAUUUAAUACUAUUUCCUUAAAAAAAAAUGUAAAAAAGAUAGUAUGUUUCAUGUACCUAUGGAAACAAAAAAAAACCAAUAUGCAUCGUCUUCAAAAACUUAAAUAUUCGAUUUGCCGACUUAUACAUCUC